Molecule: ribosomal RNA, 480 nt
Filed under: Diutina rugosa
Lineage: Eukaryota; Fungi; Ascomycota; Pichiomycetes; Serinales; Debaryomycetaceae
Description: partial large subunit ribosomal RNA
Rfam family: Eukaryotic large subunit ribosomal RNA
Source: RNAcentral
UUGCCUCAGUAACGGCGAGUGAAGCGGCAACAGCUCAAAUUUGAAAGCCCGCGGGCGUUGUAAUUUGCAGGCGGAUGUUUUGGGGCGGGCGCUGUCUACGUUCCUUGGAACAGGACGCCGCAGAGGGUGAGAGCCCCGUGCGAUGGCGCCUCUAACCGCGUAAAACUCCGCCGACGAGUCGAGUUGUUUGGGAAUGCAGCUCCAAGUGGGUGGUAAAUUCCAUCUAAAGCUAAAUACUGGCGAGAGACCGAUAGCGAACAAGUACAGUGAUGGAAAGAUGAAAAGCACUUUGAAAAGAGAGUGAAACAGCACGUGAAAUUGUUGAAAGGGAAGGGUAUGCGAUUAGCGGCCAGCAGGAGGUGCUUUCUCGUGAAAAGGCCGUGCACCGUCUUCGGACACCGUGCGCGGAGAUGGCGAGGGGGCGCCUGAGGUCUGCGAACUCGAGGUUGCUGGCGUAAUGAUUGCAUACCACCCGUCUAA